This 1096-nucleotide long non-coding RNA is filed under the name Anser cygnoides (Swan goose). Its description in RNAcentral is "lncRNA (ENSACDG00005015856.1)". The record is from RNAcentral. Lineage: Eukaryota; Metazoa; Chordata; Aves; Anseriformes; Anatidae.
AAAAUCUUUCUGGAAGAUCUGAUUGCUUAUCUCUGUGGAGGCUGGAGAACUACUUGAUCUAGUUAUCUGCUGAUUUAUUAUUUAAUACUGAUCUUACUGCUUGCAACAAGAAACUGAGCUGAAAAAAAAAGUGAUUUUGAAUAGAAGCAGAAUGAGAACAUGAGAAAUGUGGUGCUCUGUUCUCUUAUUUUGUUACACUGCUUAUACAUCUUACCUACAACCUGGAAAUAACUGUAAUGUGCAUCAGUUAGAAAGAUGAAAUUUUAAUCCAAUGCAACCACUCAUUUAGGCAAUCCCCCUUUACCUGUGCUUAAGGGGGUAUAAACUGUUCAUGCUGAUUUAUCCAUGACUAAAAACAACAAAACAAGCGAUCAGUGCACACACACAAACACACAAAAACCAAAAGGAACAAGCAGAUUCUUUUUUCUCCCUGUAUUUAUUAACUGUGUUUAUUUCUUAUAGGUAUGAAGAAAUGCAGCUUUGGUAGAUGCUCUCCACAAAAAACAGCUAUUAAUACAAAAUAUGCACUGGAAACAACGUGAAACAGCUGUGAAUAUUAAUGACAACGAUGGCUUCCCAGGGUACUCCUGACCAAAGCCUACAUGCCACUGUAGAGGGGAGGACCUGGGAUGUUAACACAGGGACUUCGGUGUCAGUACAGAAAGCGUUUUACUCAUUGGUAAAACAGUUAAAACUGUGUCUCUGCAUAGACCCUUUGUUUUACAGCUGCUUGAACACUCUGUGGUGCCCAAUUGUCUUUGUCCUGAUUAUGAAUCGGCCCUUUGUCUUGACUGUGAAUAGCUUGUGAACAUGCUGCUGUUUUGAAGACUGUGUUUGUUAUUCUAUGAAUGUUUUAUGUAGACAAGUUUUUUGUCUCUAGAUUGUUCACUGCUUGUCUAAGGAAUGAGUUAGGUUAUAGACAAAUUCCCCCUGGAAAUUUGUUUCUCUUAGUGAUUCAUUGGACUCAUAUGAAGAGAAGGUGAACAAGCAAACAUGCAAACUUGCAUAUUCCUUAUUCAUAAUAUAUACCCAUGGGCAAACCUACUUCUAAAAGGUUCUGAUUUAUAUGAAAUAAAAAUUACUUACCCUACUUACA